Molecule: non-coding RNA, 215 nt
Filed under: Thermoanaerobacterium saccharolyticum
Lineage: Bacteria; Bacillati; Bacillota; Clostridia; Thermoanaerobacterales; Thermoanaerobacteraceae
Description: T-box sequence
Rfam family: T-box leader
About the family: Uncharged tRNA acts as the effector for transcription antitermination of genes in the T-box leader family. T-boxes are found upstream of many aminoacyl-tRNA synthetase genes and some amino acid biosynthetic genes usually in Gram-positive bacteria.
Source: RNAcentral
AGAAAUGCGAUGAAAGAGUAAAGUACAUUACGUUUAGGUGCGACAGGGAGGCGAUGCCGUAGACUGAGAGCAUUGUUGGUACUGCGUAAUGGAAGUUCCCUCUUAAGCAGUGUGCUGAACUGAUAGUAGGCAUAACCGGUUUAUAUCCGUUACAUCAAAAUGAGUGGGCUUUUAGCCAAAUUAGGUGGUACCACGGUUAUCUCUCCGUCCUUUUU